UACGAAGGGGGCUAGCGUUGUUCGGAAUUACUGGGCGUAAAGCGCACGUAGGCGGCUUUGUAAGUUGGGGGUGAAAUCCCGAGGCUCAACCUCGGAACUGCCUUCAAGACUGCAGGGCUUGAGGUCGGGAGAGGUGAGUGGAAGUCCCAGUGUAGAGGUGAAAUUCGUAGAGAUUGGGAAGAACACCAGUGGCGAAGGCGGCUCACUGGCCCGUAACUGACGCUGAGGUGCGAAAGCGUGGGGAGCAAACAGG
RNAcentral lists this ribosomal RNA (253 nucleotides) under uncultured bacterium. RNAcentral's name for it is "partial 16S ribosomal RNA". It matches the Rfam family "Bacterial small subunit ribosomal RNA", at positions 524 to 776 of the family's 1533-position model. The record is from RNAcentral.